This 497-nucleotide ribosomal RNA is filed under the name uncultured bacterium. Its description in RNAcentral is "partial 16S ribosomal RNA". It matches the Rfam family "Bacterial small subunit ribosomal RNA", at positions 28 to 507 of the family's 1533-position model. The record is from RNAcentral.
GAUGAACGCUGGCGGCGUGCCUAAUACAUGCAAGUCGAGCGAACAGACGAGGAGCUUGCUCCUCUGACGUUAGCGGCGGACGGGUGAGUAACACGUGGAUAACCUACCUCUAAGACUGGGAUAACUUCGGGAAACCGGAGCUAAUACCGGAUAAUAUAUUGAACCGCAUGGUUCAAUAGUGAAAGACGGUUUUGCUGUCACUUAUAGAUGGAUCCGCGUCGCAUUAGCUAGUUGGUAAGGUAACGGCUUACCAAGGCAACGAUGCGUAGCCGACCUGAGAGGGUGAUCGGCCACACUGGAACUGAGACACGGUCCAGACUCCUACGGGAGGCAGCAGUAGGGAAUCUUCCGCAAUGGGCGAAAGCCUGACGGAGCAACGCCGCGUGAGUGAUGAAGGUCUUCGGAUCGUAAAACUCUGUUAUUAGGGAAGAACAAAUGUGUAAGUAACUAUGCACGUCUUGACGGUACCUAAUCAGAAAGCCACGGCUAACUACGUG